Lemur catta (Ring-tailed lemur) is the source of this 101-nucleotide long non-coding RNA. RefSeq lists it as uncharacterized. The record is from RefSeq and is a predicted model, not a curated record. NCBI's taxonomy places the organism in Eukaryota, Metazoa, Chordata, Mammalia, Primates, Lemuridae. The transcript has 2 exons.
ACGAGAUUGAAGAAAGAGCAACACAGGAUGUUGUAGAAAAAAUAAAAGAAGUCAAUCUAUUUUUGCAGUCACAAGCGGCAUCUGAAGAAUACAUAGAACAG